GGCUACAAGGCCGGCGGCGCGGAGCCCGCCCCGUGCGCGUUCCCUGCGGCCCGCAGCCGCGGCGCCCGGGGCCCGCCGGCCUCUCUAGCCGCCGCCUCGAUGGUGGGCAGCCGCGCGCAGCCUCUAGCGCCAGGAGGGGGCGCCAGGCGGGGCCUGUGAAGCCUGGCGAGGCUGCGCCCGGGAUGGCUGGACCGCUGGGCCCCUGAGACUACCCGGCGGAGGGACGUCCCCAAAUGACACUCGGAGGCCGCAUCCCUGGACUCCGGUGCUUGGUGCCGGGAGGAGCGGAGCGGCUUUCGACCCGGCCUCAGAUGCGCCAGCACGUUUUCUGGGCAGCAUCUGCGUGUUAGGCGACCUGGCAGGUGGGACCCUCAUAGGGAAGAAGAAAACGGACUUCCAGCUCCAGGCAGAAGGAAGCAGUGGUCGUUGCUCCCGGCGCGGUGGCUCACGCCUGUAAUCAAACACUGUGGGAGGCCGAGGCGGGUGGAUCACGAGGUCAGGAGAUCAAGACCAUCCUGGCCAACAUGGUGAAACCCCGUCUCUACUAAAAAUACUAAAAUUAGCUGGGCGUGGUGGCGCGGGCCUGUAGUCCCAGCUACUCAGGAGCCUGAGACCUGAGAAUCGCUUUAACCCGGGAGGCGGAGGUUGCAGUGAGCCAAGAUCGCACCACUGCACUCCAGUCCAGCCUGGCUACAGAGCAAGACUCCGUCUCAAAACAAAAAAAAAUUGUUCUAUGGGGAGCGACAAGGAAGGAACUGUCAGCCCUUCCUUGGACUGGGGUCGCAGGGAAGAAUUCAAGAUGGAGUGUUUAGGAGAUAGACCUUGACAAAUUAGUAAAAUGUUAGUCUUAGGAGUCGGACGAAAAGACUCUCCUAGGCUACGAAACAGCAUACACAGUGAAAAACCUCAGAAGAGAUAAAAUUCAAGGAAGAGAGCAACAACGAAAACGUCAGAAAGAACACUAAAGGAAACAUUGAGUUACAAUAUGAAAAAAAAGUGAGCUUCUAAAAGAAAAUCAAAUCCUAUCAGAAGAGUUACAUGGAGUAAGCAAUUUUAUACGGAUGCCGAUUUACUCUCCCUACCAUAAAAUCUGAUAAACAGCAAACAUUUAUUAAGCACCUAUCACAUGUCGAGAACUGUGCUAAGGACACAUGAAGAUGACUAAGAGCACCCGAGCUCACAGUCUAGGGAUUACCAGAAGAAAGACUGAUGGAUCAUGAGUGGACGGGAGAUGAAUUAAUACAAACAGCUUUCAUUGUAGGAAGAAGGAAAGUGAAUUAAUGCUUUUGAAAGAGACAGAAAAGUAGAUUUCUGGGCAAUAUGAAGCUGAGUGUCAAUCUUGUCAGAUUCUGAAGGCAUCUCUAGAUCAAGCUUCCCAGUGAAAAUGGGGCAAUGACAAUAGGACAACUAGAAAUAAGCUAUAAUUAUAGCAAAGAAGGCAACAGCCAGCAUAAACUUGCCUAAUGUCAUUUUUGAAGUCAUAGAACUACUCUUUUCAACUACUCUUCCCAUCAGAGGCUUCCUGAUACGAUCCUCUGUGGUGAGGAUGGCUUUUCGAGCCUCAUCCCACUUUCCAGGGCCCUGUAGACGAUAGUGGAUUGGAGUGCAGGGUCCCAGUAAUAAGUGUAAUGCCAGCUUGGGGUCAGUGAAGGCCAGAGCCAGCAGAUUGGGCCUGACUCCCACCAAAUCAGCAAGCUCUUCCAUCGUAUCUAUGUAGUCUCCCUGAAUGGUAUGGCGUUGGCUCUCCACAUACCUAAAGUAGAGAAGACAGAAAUCAGGGCCUGUUAAUACUUCAAUCAGUCAAUCAACCAAUGACUGCCUUCUGAGUGCCUGCUGUUGGCUCAAUAUCAGACUAGGAGCUGUGGAAUAUAGAGAAGAAAACACCUGUCACUGUCCUUAAGGAUCUUAGGAUCUACAAAAGGAGAAUCAUCCAGAAAAGGAAAGGCAAAGGUAUAGCCUGUUGCAAAGAUGACAGCAUCAAUGUCAUCCUCCCUGGAGCCAUCCUCAAAUAUGGCAGCUGUCUCAGUGAAUUCCUUCACAUUUCCUUUAACUUUCACCAUGCCGGAAAUGAUACGAUUUGGCAGGUCAUCAUUUAUGGUUGGAUGCUGACUCAGAGCUCUGUGAGUGGUGGUAAAGAUCAAGUGAAGGAGAAAUGAGAGAAAGAGAAAUCAGUACCAUAUCAAGAUCAGAGCUGAAGUUGGACCCUGGCUGGCACUGAAAGGGAGAGUGUUGGAGGAGUGAAGGAAGAAGAGUCUUGUCUGAGGAGUGCAUGUAUGAUUUCUCAAGUUACAAUAAUGUUCUGUAUGUGAUAUGAUGAGGCCGCAGGCCAAUAGUUUCUAUUCUCAUAUCAAGAAGCCUGACAGAACUAAACUGUCAACAUUCUGUCCAGUCUCACUUCCAGUUUCAAAGGCUCAAGAGCUAGGUUUAGGCCACUAUUUUCCAAACUGUAUAAUAAAUUACAUGUAUGUAGCAAUUUACAGUUUAUAAGUUGCUUUUACAUGCAUCAACUUAUUUGACUCUCUCAAAACUCUAUGAAGGAAGUAGGUGUCAUUAUCCAGGUUUUAUAAAUGAGGAAAUUGAGGCCUAGAAAAGUUACAUGAUUUGUCCAAUGUUACGCAGCCUAGGAUUUUAGAAUUUAUCUCAAAGUUGUUUUCAAUGAAUUAUCUUGGAGUACUUUGGGCCUGUUAUUGUUUCCUAGGGACAACAAUAACAUUGUGUUGGUACAAAAGUAAUUGCCUUUUUUGAUGAAGUCUUGCUCUGUCACCAGGCUGGAAUGCAGUGGCAUAAUCUCUGCUUACUGCAACCUCUGCCUUCCGAGUUCAAGCGAUUCUCCUGCCUCAGCCUCCUGAGUAGCUGGGACUACAGGAGUGCGCCACCAUACCCAUCUAAUUUUUGUGUUUUUAGUAUAGACAGGGUGUUAUGUUGGCCAGGAUGGUCUCGAUCUCUUGACCUUGUGAUCCACCUGCCUCGGCAUCCCAAAGUGCUGGGAUUACAGAUGUGAGCCACUGUGCCUGGCCUGCCAUUACUUUCUUUUAAUAAUAAUAAGGGUGGUUUCCAGUAUCACGGAUCUUUCUAAAAAGCCAUCUUUUUUUCUUUUGAAAAAGACCUACUCCUUUUCACCUUAUCUAUACCACCUUAUACAGUUGAUCAAAUUUUGCAUAAUUACUGUGGGAUAUACUGACAUCGUGUGGUUUUAACGUGACCCACUGACAUCAACGUCACCUGUGUAGUCUAUGCGUCAAAAACAUUUAACCUGAAUAUAAUAAAGGAAAAAACUAUGCAAGUCUAAAUUUAGAGACUUUCUACAAAACAAUGCCUUGGGUUCUUAAAAAGGAAGCCCAUGUCAAAGAGAGAAUUAUUUCAGAUUAAGAGAGAUUAAAGAGACAUGACAACUACAUGUAAUGGUGUGAUUGAUUACCUGGCAGGAUACUAGAUUUAAAAAGAUUUUUUAAAGCCAUAUAAAAUAUUAUUGGGGCAACUGUGGAUACUGCCAACGUAUUAGAUAAUGUAUUUUAAAUUUCCCAAGUGUGAUAAUUAUAUGAUGGUUAUGUAAGAGAGUGCCCUUUUUCUUAUACGAUAUACACUGAAGUAUUUAAAGUGUCUUAAUGACUGCAACGUACCCAAAUGGCUUCAGAAAAAAAAUGUGCUUGUGUGUGUAUGCUCUAUAUGUGUGGAUCUAUCUACAGAGAGGGGGAAGCAGCAGAAGCAAAUACAGCAAACUGUUAACAGGUGAAUCCAGGUGAAGGGUAUAUGGGCGCUGAUUGUACUUAUUAUUUUGCAACUUUUGUAUAGAUCUGAACAUUUAAAAAAAUAAAAACUUGGAGGUAAAAUAAAUUUAGAAUCAGCCUCUAGAAAUGUUUUCCCUCCCUGGCUCCUCAACUUUCGUAGCACUCUGUGUACCUCUUUAUUAUACUCUGUUCUCUUUCUUCUCAUUAGAGUAUUUAAGGUAAGAUCCAUUUAUUGAGUCUGUCAUUCAUUACUCGUGUUGCCCUCAGGAAAGUUACUUAGUUUCUAUAUGUCUUAAUUUUUAUAUUUGUAAAAUGUACAUAGAAAAUUAUGGAGGCCAAAGCAACUCCCAUCUUAGAAGCUAAUCUACCAUAUUGAUUUCUGAUCAACCUCAGUUCCAGGAAGACCUCUGAGAUUUCCAGUUAAUCUGUUGUUUAAGAGCAUGUACUUAUCCUUAAUUCCGCCCCCACCAUAGGGCAAACUCCUACCCAUUCUCGCUGAAGCAUGUGUGCCCCUCCCUUAUAGUAUAUAAGGCACGUUAUAUCCUGGGUCGGGAGAUAAUGGUACGGGGAUCUAACAUCUUGUCUCCCCACUGCCUGAGACACAGAUGUGGCUUCUGUUCGUAAGUCCCUAUUAAAUGUUUCUAAGCAAC
Molecule: long non-coding RNA, 4378 nt
Organism: Callithrix jacchus (white-tufted-ear marmoset)
Lineage: Eukaryota; Metazoa; Chordata; Mammalia; Primates; Cebidae
Source: RefSeq, a predicted model, not a curated record